Long non-coding RNA from Cucurbita maxima (winter squash), 392 nucleotides. RefSeq lists it as uncharacterized. NCBI's taxonomy places the organism in Eukaryota, Viridiplantae, Streptophyta, Magnoliopsida, Cucurbitales, Cucurbitaceae. The transcript is spliced from 4 exons. The record is from RefSeq and is a predicted model, not a curated record.
UUCUCAAAGUGAGCUUGAAGAGUUUGGCCAUUCAAAGCGGCAUAAGAAGAAUGGUAGAACGAAAACGGUAGAUGUUUUUAUACAACAUUUUUCUUUUCCUAUUUGGCUUUGUGGUUUCACUUGUGGAUUUCUCCUUGUUAUUGUUAUUAUCUCUUUGUGCAUCUUAGGAUAAGAAGAGGGAGCGAAGUAAGAAACAUCACCAUGAAAGGCGUAGGAACAAAGCUAAAGAGUUGGGGUCCGUGUCAUGAUGAUCGGGCUGUUGAUUGGGAGUUGAUGUAUAGAAACAGCCAGAAGAGAGUAGUAGCCCUGUGCAGCUUUCCAAGUUUAUAUCGCGGGAGAAGGAUGAUGGUACUCGGCGGAGUGCUGUCUCUGGCAAAAAGAUUUUGUUAAAC